This is a non-coding RNA of Sturnus vulgaris (Common starling), 1956 nucleotides long. The record is from RefSeq and is a predicted model, not a curated record. Lineage: Eukaryota; Metazoa; Chordata; Aves; Passeriformes; Sturnidae.
UGAAAACUGAAUAAAGAAGUCCUGUAUCCUUUUAAUAAUCUUUUUUCUCUAGUAGUUUUCUUAAAUGUUUCUUGUCACAAAAUACAUAGAACUCUCCAUAUACUGCCCAUUUAUGCUUAAAUACUAAGAAGUUUUAAAUGGCUAUACAUAAACCCCACAUCCUUUGUAAGUGGGGAUAGAACAAGGUAAGAAGUAACUGAGAAAUAACCUCAGUUGUGUGGAAGCAUGAACUGGAGCCUAUCACUUGAUCCUCAGAACAAGAUUAACAUCUGCCUUCUAAAGAAAAACCUAAAAACUCUAUUGGCAAGGGAUAUAAAACUAAAAUUAGAAAGGGAAGAAAAAUACUGUAGCCAAGAUGGUAACUACAGAAAGUUUGUUUUUCAAGCCAGGCUUAAGAAGCUAGGCUAUAACUCCUCAAUAAAUGCUGCCAUGAUGUGAAUUAGGUGUCUCUUGACCGACAAUUUAUUUGGGUCUUGAGCCCUUUUAUCUAAGAAGAUCAAUGACCAAGUUCUUCCCAAGCUUGUAUGUUGAGUAUUCAAAAAGAAAACAUAGUCCCACAUCUUCAUCUCUAAUCUAAAGCUGAAUGGGAUGACAACAGUCGAGCUCAUGCCCAAGCUCUCUUGUGUGCUUGGAACUGUGGUAUGGCAGCACCGGCUCAUGUUUUGUUUCUCUCCCAGAGUUUUGCAUUUAUCAGGAUUAAACCUCAACUACUCUUAGGUUGUCAGCUGGCUCUGGUCAUAAAAACCACCUUGUCUUUCAUCUCCGGUACAUCUGAAGAGGUAAACUAUAACUGUUUUCUCAGAUCUGGAUUUCUGGAUUUUUUUUUUCCUGGAUUUUUUUGUUCUGUGUAGAUUGCAAUAACCCACAUGAAAAACUGCUGCUGAAGACCACACACAAAUGCAGAAAAGCUGAAUGGCAACCAUAGCUCCAGGAGCAUCUUCUCAUAGACCUCUAAAAAUGCAUUAGAUUCUUAUCUUCUGUGGUGCCUCAGCAACAGUGGAAGUCAGAAGAGAUGUUUGUGCGAGUAGCUUGAAGACUUAAGCACACUGAAAGUUUUAAGAAAAUAACAUUUAAUGUAAAGCUCUGCUAGAAGUAACAAGCCUGUUAUGUUGAUUUCAGCAUGAUUGAUACAGGAGGGAAUAAAACUGCUUAGUUACUGAGGGAAAAGUCAAGGUAAUUCAUUACAGGUUUUUGGAAGAUUAUACAGAUACAUGUUAUAGCUGCUUGUAUAUCAAGCAUCUGAAUUUGGAGAAAAUCUAGCAGAGUGUAGCAUGCGCAUAAUGUCUCCAGAGAGCAGACUGUGGAUUUACUAUGUGACCUCCAUGCAUUUGGUCAGGGAACAAAGGCUAUGGAUAUAGAUCCAUCCAUGAUUGGAUGUCAUGAACUGGGUUGUUUAUUCUGUCUAAGAGGGGAGCAUUAAUGACAGUCUUCAGUUACAUGAGGAGAAAGAAGUCAUAGCACAGAAGGAAAAAAUACCCUGCUCUGCAUAUCUGUGGCAGAUGGGAUGAGCUAAUCUAAGGUUAUGUUUUAAAUGGUAGAAGCUUUCUAAUAAGUUAGAUUAAUUAUUGCAUGUGACUGUGUUAUGCAACCCUCAUCAUCAGAAACUUUUGAAAACAGGUUGGAAUGGACUGGUACAGGUCUGGCUGGUGUUGCCCUGAAGCCAAGGAAUAAGGCAGGGACAAACCUAUUUUUCCCAUGUGUUUAUGAGCAAUUGGUCUGGUUUGUAAGUCGCAAAAAGCACAAAUUAGGAGGAAUAAAACUAAAUCACAAGUAGUAAUGAAAGCACAUUUUGAAAUUAAAUCAUACAACAAUUAAAACAGUGUAAGAUGUUUCCAAAACAAGUACCCUUGUAUUGGCUCAAUUCCUCCAGCUCCACUAUGUGGAAGUGAAGGCCCAGCAGGACACACAGGGGCAGGCAGCACCUCUCACAGGGACACAGGGCAUCUCGUGGCUCAC